GCCGUCCUAGCUCAGGGGUAGAGCACCUCCAUGGUAAGGAGGGGGUCACGGGUUCAAAUCCCGUGGACGGCUCCA
RNAcentral lists this transfer RNA (75 nucleotides) under Candidatus Saccharibacteria bacterium RIFCSPHIGHO2_12_FULL_47_17. RNAcentral describes it as "tRNA-Thr". It matches the Rfam family "tRNA". From Rfam's summary of the family: Transfer RNA (tRNA) molecules are approximately 80 nucleotides in length. The record is from RNAcentral. Lineage: Bacteria; Candidatus Saccharimonadota.